RNAcentral lists this long non-coding RNA (1023 nucleotides) under Numida meleagris (helmeted guineafowl). Its description in RNAcentral is "lncRNA (ENSNMEG00000021022.1)". Lineage: Eukaryota; Metazoa; Chordata; Aves; Galliformes; Numididae. The record is from RNAcentral.
AUUUUAACAUAUUAUUAAACAAAACUAAUUUUAACGUAUCUCUGUAUAAGCCAACGUAACUUGUACACUAAUACUCAGUUUGUAAGAUUCCAGGUUUUCAGAGAUAUUCAUGGCUGAUGAUGUUUCAUUAUCUUAGUGCUUUGUCUAUAAUCCCUAUUGCUGUCCAUAGAGCAGCUUUAAGAGUUCUGCUUCAGUCCAGGGAGAUUCUGCCUUCGUGGAACUGAGACAGGGAGAUUCCUGCUUCUUUCUAAGCAAACUAAGGAUCCAUAAGGCCUUGUCUUGCUCCUGGGGUAUUGCACAGGUAACGUGGGGAAAAAGAUGGCAUUCAGAGUCCUCCUUCAAGACCUGAUGGCAUGAGGUUGCAAUACUUGAUUUUAGCUACAAAUUCAUUUUUGUUUAUGCAUGUAAGGGAACUGCGUGGAGUCAAAAGAGAGUCUUUGGAAUUGUUAUGUACUUCCUAGGAGAAAUACUCAGCCACUGAUGCGUACGUGCACCUUCUAUUUGUUGUAGGCAUUCACCUGCUGGGGCUGGUAGGGGAAAAAAUGUUUACUGAUUAAUUGAGAUGGUUGGAAAUGUGAGUGGGUAAGGUGACGUUAUGGGCUAUGGACAUAAGUUCAAUUCAUGGUUUACCUCUGAAUUUUUAGCACACUGUUAAGAUCUUCACUAGAAGAGUAUAUAUUGUUGUGACUUUUUGCUGCUGGUUAGCCAUGUGACAUUUUACAUUGUGUUGUUUCAUUCUAACUCUGUUGCAAUAAGAUCUGUAAUGGCGUAAGAUUAUUUCCUUACUCGUUUUUUUUUUUUUUAAGUCCUUCUUGUGUGUAUGUAUUUUUAAGCUUUUUUUUUUAAGCCCUACUUCCUUGGGGCUGAUAUUGUUUCCUCCAUUUGUACGCUACUGAAAUAUACAUAUUUUUUUUUUUUUUUGGUUAUGUUUUCCCCUGAUCUGAAAAUGCAGAAGCAGCAGCGAAGGAGAUUUGCUGCAAAAGCUGUGCAAAUAUUCAAAUAAAUCAGCCAGCUUCCUUAGCA